CAGGUUCAAGAGAUUCUUCUGCCUCAGCCUCCCAAGUAGCUGGCACUGCAGACACGCACCACCACACCCAGAAUGGAAUACUAACGUGCUGCCUAGAGAUACAGAAGUGGGAUGAACGCAGGGCCUUACUCAGCAUUCAGAACAAAACUGAUGGUGCUAGCAUAUAUAAGACUGAAACACCAAAGUCCUCCGUGGAAGUUAAUGAAUUUCUGGUUAUGAGUUGGAUUCUUCAGCGGAGUAUUUGAGCCAUGCCUUGAGGCACAUACUUCAAGUUGCUGCAUCCAGUUUUAAACUCCAGAUUGAGCUUUACAUAUUAAAUGUGCACAUUUGUUUUCACAUUUUUGAGCUUUGCCAGUGGCACCCUCUCUAAUUAAUCAUCCCGCGGGCUUAGAAAACUUCUGCCCAAUCCUUUCUGAUUUGUUAAAAGAAAGAGAGAAGGUUUUAGUCUGAAAAAGGCCUUAUCUGAUAAACAUCACAUUAUAUGGAUUUUUACAUUUAAGUACAUUUUCUUUUUAAAUCCGGUGGCUUUCCCAAACUAGAAAGAUGGAGUGUUUGCAUACAUCCACCAACCACCAACAUCAGCAGAAAGAAAGCUUGAUACAGUAAAGGAAAGAAA
Molecule: long non-coding RNA, 616 nt
Filed under: Homo sapiens (human)
Lineage: Eukaryota; Metazoa; Chordata; Mammalia; Primates; Hominidae
Description: novel transcript
Source: RNAcentral